Molecule: non-coding RNA, 749 nt
Organism: Cricetulus griseus (Chinese hamster)
Lineage: Eukaryota; Metazoa; Chordata; Mammalia; Rodentia; Cricetidae
Source: RefSeq, a predicted model, not a curated record
GAAAAUGGACUCUCAAUUGAGGACUUGCCCUCAUUAGGUUUACCUGUGGCCAUGCCUGUGUGGAAUUUUCUUUAAUGCUGAUUAGAGGGAGGGGAGAAUUUAUGCAGUGUCAUGGGCCUGGCAGUAUAAGAAGAGUAGCUGAGCAAGUUAGAGGAAGUGAGUCAGUGAUUAGCACUCUUCCAAGGUCUAUGUUUUAGUUCCUGACUCCAUGUUCCUGCCUUGGCAUCCCUCCAUGAUGGAAUAUCACUUGGAAGUGUGGAAUGAAACAAAACCUUUCCCCCUCAAACUUGGUUUUGUGAUAUUCUGCUAUACUCAUCGAUCGGUGUGCAGCCCAAUUGUCAUCAGUAGCAUCAUCCAGCAACUGAUGGGAUCAGAUAAGGAGGCCCCAAGCCAAACACUAGGUGGAGUUCUGCGCACCUCACAGAAGAGGGGGAAGAAGGACGGUAGAAGCCAGAAGAGUCAAGGACACCAUGAGAACACGGCUCACAGAAUCAAUUAAGCAGGCUCCCAGAGACUGAAGUGACAAUCAUGGACCCAGAAUGGGUCUGAGCAAGAAUUCGAUCCCCAACUUCUUGUUAUAUCUGCCUCCUGUGUGGUGCUGAAAUGUUGUCAUCCAGUAUCCUGUUCCAGCUGUCAUGCCUUUUCCCUCACAAUUGACUCCAUUCUUCUGGAAGUGUAAGCUAUUAAAAUAAGUCCUUCUCCCCUAAACAAAAAAUAAACUAAUAUACUGCUAUUGUUAUUUUGCUAAA